CCCUUAGAUGUUCUGGGCCGCACGCGUGCUACACUGAGUAAAUCAAUGGGUAAGGGAACACGAAAGUGCAACCUAAUCUUGAAAUUUGCUCGUGAUGGGGAUCGACGGUUGCAAUUUUCCGUCGUGAACGAGGAAUACCUUGUAGGCGCGUGUCAUCAUCACGCGCCGAAUACGUCCCUGCCCUUUGUACACACCGCCCGUCGCUACUGCCAACUGAGAUGGGUCCUGAAUUGUUAGGAACGCCCGUCAAGGGGCCUACCCGGUCCCUAGUGCGGUGACGAGAAUAACUGUAAAUGGCAUAUCUUGUAGGGAGUAAAAGUCGUAACA
Molecule: ribosomal RNA, 327 nt
Filed under: uncultured eukaryote
Lineage: Eukaryota
Description: partial 18S ribosomal RNA
Rfam family: Eukaryotic small subunit ribosomal RNA
Source: RNAcentral